GGGAAUAUUGCACAAUGGGCGCAAGCCUGAUGCAGCCAUGCCGCGUGUAUGAAGAAGGCCUUCGGGUUGUAAAGUACUUUCAGCGGGGAGGAAGGCGAUAAGGUUAAUAACCUUGUCGAUUGACGUUACCCGCAGAAGAAGCACCGGCUAACUCCGUGCCAGCAGCCGCGGUAAUACGGAGGGUGCAAGCGUUAAUCGGAAUUACUGGGCGUA
Molecule: ribosomal RNA, 213 nt
Filed under: Enterobacter asburiae
Lineage: Bacteria; Pseudomonadati; Pseudomonadota; Gammaproteobacteria; Enterobacterales; Enterobacteriaceae
Also listed under: 3 other names
Description: partial 16S ribosomal RNA
Rfam family: Bacterial small subunit ribosomal RNA
Source: RNAcentral